UACGUAGGGUGCAAGCGUUGUCCGGAAUUAUUGGGCGUAAAGAGCUCGUAGGCGGCCACUCAAGUCGAAUGUGAAACCUCGAGGCUCAACCUCGAGCCUGCAUUCGAUACUGGGCGGCUAGAGUCUGGUAGGGGGAUCUGGAAUUCCUGGUGUAGCGGUGGAAUGCGCAGAUAUCAGGAAGAACACCGGUGGCGAAGGCGGGUCUCUGGGCCACUACUGACGCUGAGGAGCGAAAGCGUGGGGAGCGAACAGG
RNAcentral lists this ribosomal RNA (253 nucleotides) under uncultured bacterium. Its description in RNAcentral is "partial 16S ribosomal RNA". It matches the Rfam family "Bacterial small subunit ribosomal RNA", at positions 524 to 776 of the family's 1533-position model. The record is from RNAcentral.